RNAcentral lists this long non-coding RNA (5644 nucleotides) under Homo sapiens (human). RNAcentral's name for it is "non-protein coding lnc-ZNF705B-5:1". Lineage: Eukaryota; Metazoa; Chordata; Mammalia; Primates; Hominidae. The record is from RNAcentral.
UGGUGACUCACCCCUGUAAUCCCAGCACUUUUGGUGGCUGAGGUGGGUGGAUCACCUGAGGUCAGGAGUUCAAGACCAGCUUGCCCAACAUGGUGAAACGUCACCUAUCCUAAAAAUACAAAAAUAAGCUGGGCGUGGUGGCAGAUGCCUAUAACCACAGCUACUCUGGAGUCUGAUACAGGAGAAUCACUUGAACCCAGGAGGUGGUAGUUGAAGUGAGCCGAGAUCAUGCCAUUGCAUUCCAGUUUGGGCAAAAGAGCAAGAUUUUGUCUCAAAAAAAAAAACAAAAGUAAUAAAAAUAAAAAGGUAAAUAACUAAAAUCACUUUUAAAUAAUUGUAUAAAAAUAAUAAAACACUGACAUUUACAGAGCUCAGUUAGAUGAGGUGACUCAUACCUUCCAAUGGUGUCUUGGUUCUCUUACAUAAGAAUUCAAAUGUCUUUCUGUGGCCCAAAAGAUCCCACACAGCCUGGCCCCUGGCCUAUCUUCUGCCAGCCUCUCUCAUCUCUCUCCCUCUCCUUCACUUCCUUCCGGAUCACAAAGGCCUUUGCCUGUGCCUUCUGCCCUGCUCCCUCAAGCCCCAGGGCCUUGGCCUGUGCUAGUCCAGUCCCUCCAGCUCACCAGGAGCAUACAGUCCAGUCGGGGAGACAGACACCAGACACCCAAACAGGCACAUACAUCCUGUAACAACUCAGGAGGCAUCAAGGAGGAAAACGAGUUUUCCAGGCACAGACUACAGGCGUAAACUGGUUUCAAACUAGAGAGGGAGAAAGGGGGUCUCUGAGCAUGGGGCAGUUGAGCUGAAAGAGAUCUCAGGGGACCAGAGGAAGGAAAAGUGUUCCAGGCGAGGGAAGAGCAUGUGUGAGGUCUCUGAGACAAAGACCUGGUCAUUUCAGAAUCCCAAUGGCCACUAAAAUAGAGGGAUUCCAACCUAAAAAGGAGGAAGAGGAGGCUGCUGGAAAGCAAAGGACUCUGUGUAAGAAUCAUAAUAGCAGGAGUGGAGCCAAGAUGGCCGAAUAGGAACAGCUCCAGUCUACAAUUCCUGGCGUGAGCGACCCAGAAGACAGGUGAUUUCUGCAUUUCCAACUGAGGUACUUGGUUCAUCUCACUGGAGAGUGUCAGAAAGUGGGUGCAGGACACUUGGUGCAGUGCACCGAGCAUGAGCCAAGCAGGACAAGGCAUUGCCUCACCUGGGAAGUGCAAGGGGUCAGAGAAUUCCCUUCCCUAGUCAAAGAAACGGGUGACAGAUGGCACCUGGAAAAUCGGGUCACUCACACCCUAAUACUGCACUUUUCCAAUGGUCUUAGCAAACGGCACACCAGGAGAUUAUAUCCCAUGCCUGGCUCAGAGGGUCCUAAACCCAUGGAGCCUCACUCAUUGCUAGCACAGCAGUAUGAGAUCAAACUGCAAGGUGGCAGCAAGGCUGGGGGAGGGGCGCCCGCCAUUGCCUAGGCUUCAGUAGGUAAACAAAGCAGCUGGGAAGCUCCAACUGGGUGGAGCCCACCUCAGCUCAAGGAGGCCUGCCUACCUCUGUAGACUCCACCUCUGGGGGCAGGGCAUUGGCAAACAAAAGGCAGCAGAAUCCUCUGCAGACUUAAAUAUCCCUGUCUGACAGCUUUGAAGAGAGAAGUGGUUCUCCCAGCACACAGCUGGAGAUCUGAGAAUGGACAGAUUGCCUCCUCAAGUGGGUCCCUGACCCCCGAGUUGCCUAACUGGAGGCACACCCCCGUAGGGGCAGACUGACACCUCACAUGGCCGGGUACUCCUCUGAGACAAAACUUCCAGAGGAACAAUCAGGCAGCAACAUUUGCUGCUCAACAAUAUCUGCUGUUCUGCAGCCUCAACUGCUGACACCCAGGCAAACUCCAACAGACCUGCAGCUGAGGGUCCUGACUCUUAGAAGGAAAACUAACAAACAGAAAAGACAUCCACACUUAAAACCCCAUCUGUACGUCACCAUCAUCAAAGACCAAACGUAGAUAAAGCCACAAAGAUGGGGAAAAAACAGACACACACAGGCUCAAAUAAAGGGAUGGAGGAAGAUCUACCAAGCAAAUGGAAAACAAAAAAAAGGCAGGUGUUGCAAUCCUAGUCUCUGAUAAAACAGACUUUAAACCAACAAAGAUCAAAAGAGACAAAGAAGGCCAUUACAUAAUGGUAAAGGGAUCAAUUCAACAAGAAGAGCUAACUAUCCUAAAUAUAUAUGCACCCAAUACAUGAGCACCCAGAUUCAAAAAGCAAGUCCUUAGAGACCUACAAAGAGACUUAGACUCCCACACAAUAAUAAUGGGAGGCUUUAACACCCCACUGUCAACAUUAGACAGAUCAACAAGACAGAAAGUUAACAAGUAUAUUCAGGAAUUGAACUCAGCUCUGCACCAAGCGGAACUAAUAGACAUCUACAGAACUCUCCACCCCAAAUCAACAGAAUAUACAGUCUUCUCAGCACCACAUCGCACUUCUUCCAAAAUUGACCACAUAGUUGGAAGUGAAGCACUCUUCAGCAAAUGUAAAACAACAGAAAUUAUAACAAACUGUCUCUCAGACCACAGUGCAAUCAAACUAGAACUCAGGAUUAAGAAACUCUCUCAAAACUACUCAACUACAUGAAAACUGAACAACCUGCUCCUGAAUGACUACUGGGUACAUAAUGAAAUGAAGGCAGAAAUAAAGGUGUUCUUUGAAACCAACGAGAACAAAGACACAACAUACCAGAAUCUCUCGGACACAUUCAAAGCAGUGUGUAGAGGGAAAUUUAUAGCACUAAAUGCCCACAAGAGAAAACAGGAAAUAUCUAAAACUGACACCCUAACAUCACAAUUAAAAGAACUAGAGAAGCAAAGAGCAAACACAUUCAAAAGCUAGCAGAAGGCAAGAAAUAACUAAGAUCAGAGCAGAACUGAAAGAAAUAGAGACACAAAAAACCCUUCAAAAAAUCCAUGAAUCCAGGAGCUGGUUUUUUGAAAAGAUCAACAAAAUUGAUAGACCACUAGCAAGACUAAUAAAGAAAAGAGAGAAGAAUCCAAUAGACACAAUAAAAAUUGAUAAAGGGGAUAUCACCACCAAUCCCACAAAAAUACAAACUACCAUCAGAGGAUAGUAUAAACACCUCUAUGCAAAUAAACUAGAAAACCUAGAAGAAAUGGAUAAAUUCCUCGACACGUACACCCUCCCAAUGCUAAACCAGGAAGAAGUUGAAUCUCUGAAUAGACCAAUAACAGGUUCUGAAAUUGAGGCAAUAAUUAAUAGCUUACCAACCAAAAAAAGUCCAUGACCAGACGGAAUCACAGACGAAUUCCACCAGAGGUAAAAGGAGGAGCUGGUACCAUUCCUUCUGAAACUAUUCCAAACAAUAGAAAAAGAGGGAAUCCUACCUAACUCAUUUUAUGAGGCCAGCAUCAUCUUGAUACCAAAGCCGGGCAGAGACACAACCAAAAAAGAGAAUUUUAGACCAAUAUCCCUGAUGAACAUCGAUGCAAAAAUCCUCUAUAAAAUACUGGCAAACCGAAUCCAGCAGCACAUCAAAAACUUAUCCACCAUGAUCAAGUGGGCUUCCUCCCUGGGAUGCAAGAUUGGUUCAACAUUUGCAAAUCAGUAAACAUAAUCCAGCAUAUAAACAGAACCAAUGACAAAAACCAUAUGAUUAUCUCAUUACAUGCAGAAAAGGCCUGUGACAAAAUUCAACAACCUUCAUGCUGAAAACUCUCAAUAAAUUAAGUAUUGAUGGGACGUAUCUCAAAAUAAUAAGAGCUAUCUAUGACAAACCCACAGCCAAUAUCAUACUGAAUGGGCAAAAACUGGAAGCAUUCCCUUUGAAAACUGGCACAAGACAGGGAUGCCCUCUCUCACCACUCCUAUUCAACAUAGUGUUGGAAGUUCUGGCCAGGGCAAUCAGGGAGGAGAAGGAAAUAAAGGGUAUUCAAUUAAGAAAAGAGGAAGUCAAAUUGUCCCUGUUUGCAGAUGACAUGAUUGUAUAUCAAGAAAACCCCACUGUCUCAGCCCAAAAUCUCCUUAAGCUGAUAGGCAACUUCAGCAAAGUCUCAGGAUACAAAAUCAAUUUGCAAAAAUCACAAGCAUUCUUAUAAACCAAUACAGACAAACAGAGAGCCAAAUCAUGAGUGAACUCCCAUUCACAAUUGCUUCAAAGAGAAUAAAAUACCUAGGAAUCCAACUUACAAGGGAUAUGAAGGACCUCUUCAAGGAGAACUAUAAACCACUGCUCAACGAAAUAAAAGAGGACACAAACAAAUGGAAGAACAUUCCAUGCUCAUGAGUAGGAAGAAUCAAUAUCGUAAAAAUGGCCAUAUUGGCCAAGGUAAUUUAUAGAUUCAAUGCCAUCCCCAUCAAGUUACCAAUGACUUUCUUCACAGAAUUGGAAAAAACUACUUUAAAGUUCAUAUGGAACCAAAAAAGAGCCCGCAUUGCCAAGUCAAUCCUAAGCCAAAAGAACAAAGCUAGAGGCAUCACACUACCUGACUUCAAACUAUACUACAAGGCUACAGUAAUCAAAACAGCCUGGUACUGGUACAAAAACAGAGAUAUAGACCAAUGGAACAGAACAGAGCCCUCAGGAAUAAUGCCACAUAUCUACAACCAUCUGAUCUUUGACAAACCUGACAAAAACAUGAAACGGGGAAAGGAUUCCCUAUUUAAUAAAUGGUGCUGGGAAAACUGGCUAGCCAUAUGAAGAAAGCUGAAACUGGAUCCCUUCCUUACACCUUAGACAAAAAUUAAUUCAAGAUGGAUUAGACUUAAAUGUUAGACCUAAAACCAUAAAAACCCUAGAAGAAAACCUCAGCAAUAUCAUUCAGGACAUAGGCAUGGGCAAGGAAUUCAUGUCUAAAACACCAAAAGCAAUGGCAAGAAAAGCCAAAAUUAACAAAUGGGAUCUAAUUAAACUAAAGAGCUUCUGCACAGCAAAAGAAACUACCAUCAGAGUGAACAGGCAACCUACAGAAUGGGAGAAAAUUUUUGCAAUCUACUCAUCUGACAAAGGGCUAAUAUCAAGAAUCUACAAUGAGCUCCAAUAAAUUUACAAGAAAAAAACAAACAACCCAUCAAAAAGUGGGCAAAGGAUAUGAACAGACACUUCUCAAAAGAAGACAUUUAUGUAGCCAAAAGACACGUGAAAAAAAUGCUCAUCAUCCCUGGCCAGAGAAAUGCAAGUCAAAACAACAAUGUGAUACCAUCUCACCCCAGUUAGAAUGGCGAUCAUUAACAAGUCAGGAAACAACAGGUGCUGGAGAGGAUGUGGAGAAAUAGGAACACUUUUACGCUGUUGGUGGGACUGUAAACUAGUUCACCCAUUGUGAAAUUCAGUGUGGCAAUUCCUCAGGGAUCUAGAACUAGAAAUACCAUUUGACCCAGCCAUCCCAUUACUGGGUAUAUACCCAAAGGAUUAUAAAUCAUGCUGCUAUAAAGACACAUGCACACGUAUGUUUAUAGUGGCACUAUUCACGAUAGCAAAGACUUGGAACCAAGCCAAAUGUCCAACAAUGAUAGACAGGAUUAAGAAAAUAUGGCACAUAUACACCAUGGAAUACUAUGCAGCCAUAAACAAUGAUUUCAUGUCCUUUGUAGGGACAUGGAUGAAGCUGGAAACCAUCAUUCUCUGCAAACUAUUGCAAGGACAAAAAACCAAACAC